ACAACAGUGAUGCCCUUAGUAAUGGCGAAUGAAACGGGCAUAGCCCAGCACCGAACCGCCGGCCUUGCUAAAGGGUCGCGUGGAAUGUGGUGUUUGGGAGAGCCUUCUCGUGAUGUGUGGUUGAUCCGUCCAAGUCCACCUUGACUGGGGCCACUGCCCAAAGAGGGUGAUAGGCCCGUAGGAUGGUGCACACAUUAUGCUGGCUUCUUCCCUAGAGUCGAGUUGCUUGGGAGUGCAGCUCAAAGUGCGUGGUAAACUCCACGUAAGGCUAAAUAUCACCCCGAGACCGAUAGCGAACAAGUACCGUGAGGGAAAGUUGAAAAGAACUUUGAAGAGAGAGUUCAAUAGUACGUGAAACUGUGUAUCGGUAAACGGAGGGGCUCUCGAAGUCCGAGUCGGAGAUUCAGGUUGACGGCAUUUUUGGAGCAGCCUUUCAUGUAUUUUUAUUUUUUUUGCUGCUGUAACAGGUGGUGAGAAAAAUGGGAUCUGCAAAGACCCUGCGUGAAACAAGUUGCUUCGCUGGCGACUGCACUUCUUUGGCUCUGUCAAAUUGGACGCGACGUAUCACUGAGAGUGAACCUACACUUGGAAGAGAAGUUUGCUUCUAGUAAACAUUUUAUUAUGUUUUUCUUUUAGUAAGCCUUUCAAGACUUGGGCUUCACGCUCGGUGGUGGAUAGUUUUUGGAGUCAUAAUGGGCUCGUUAUAACGAGCGUUGGCUCAAAAAAACGCAGCCUAGACUUUAAACUGUCGCGAGUAGGUCGGUGGCCCCUCCGACCCGUCUUGAAACACGGACCA
RNAcentral lists this ribosomal RNA (796 nucleotides) under Lamproglena chinensis. RNAcentral's name for it is "eukaryotic LSU rRNA". It matches the Rfam family "Eukaryotic large subunit ribosomal RNA", at positions 65 to 668 of the family's 3401-position model. The record is from RNAcentral. Lineage: Eukaryota; Metazoa; Arthropoda; Copepoda; Cyclopoida; Lernaeidae.